Molecule: long non-coding RNA, 854 nt
Organism: Quercus robur (English oak)
Lineage: Eukaryota; Viridiplantae; Streptophyta; Magnoliopsida; Fagales; Fagaceae
Exons: 4
Source: RefSeq, a predicted model, not a curated record
UUUUUUCCAUUUAAAUAGUAUUUAGCAUUUUCUCUUUUUGUAUUGGCUGAUGUUUCCAAUUAUUCAAAAUCUAUGUUUAUUGUAAAAAUCCUAAAAGAGCUAUUACAAAAUUGUGGAAAUAAUUGAGGAAAAAAAAGAGUUGAUAUUGGGGGGAAGAGGAUUCUUCUUUUUUGGGGAAGGAUAAGCCUUUUUGGAGGGGUAAAGGGGGCAAUUGCCCCUCCUUACCCAUUUUCAAGUGGAAAAAAAGAAGCUCUCUUAGUCAAUUUGAACGAGGCUAUCAAAGACAUUGCAGAGGCCAAAGAAUUCUUGAAGCAAAGAGGAGUUGAUGUGGACUAUGAUUGAAGGCUCUCUCUUAUGGCGCCUUUGAAGAACCAAGGUGAUUUUAAGACAGUUUCAAUUCUAUAUGAUCACAACUUGAGGUACAAAUUGGAUGAUAAGUUGUGUGGGAGUGUUGAAUUCAAUGAGGUAGAGUUUGCUUACAGCUCUCUAAAAUUGGUUCGGUAUUUGAAACUAUAGAUGCAGAAUAUGUUGUAAAUUUUGCUUGUAUAGCAUCGAAGUGGGGCUCAUCAAAGAACUAAGAACCCACAAGGUUGCCAUUGCCGAACUCAAUAAUCUUUCUUCAUCUAGGAUGGUACUAGCAGAGAAGAAGAGGACAACUGAAACAAUAACAUGGAGGUCGAAAGCAACUUGGAGGGUGACCUAGAGGAAAACUAAUAUAGAUCUUUUCAUAAUUCUAGUUGUUUAAAACAAUAUUUUUAUGUUAUGGUUUAAUUUUAGGAUUUCUUUGUAUAUUCUAUAUUUUAAAGUUUGAACUUAUAAGAAUUUUUAUGUUUCAAUGGAUCAAUUUUUAGUAA